CCCUUGCCCCAGUGAAUGUUUCAACGGCCGCAGUACCCUGACUGUGCUAAGGUAGCGUAAUCAGUUGGCUUUUAAAUGGAGUCGAGAAUGAAAGGGUCCAUGGGGGAACGCUGUUUCUGAGUUGCUCUAUCGAAUUUAUUUACCGGGUGAAAAUCCCCGGACGAAGAAAAAAGACGAGAAGACCCUUAGAAUCUUUACAAACAUGCACACAAAUGCGCAUACAGUUUUUGUUGGGGCGACACCGAGGCAAAGUUUUUAAACCCUCGUCAUCAGAUAUUAACACGACGAUGUUUAUAAGCAAGAUUAGGUUACCUUAGGGAUAACAGCAUAAUUUUUAUUAAAGCUUGUGACCUCGAUGUUGGACUAGGGACCUUACGACUAGCCGUCGCAAUGGGCGAGAUGCGCGGCCGGCG
This 413-nucleotide ribosomal RNA is filed under the name Laemodonta monilifera. Its description in RNAcentral is "partial 16S ribosomal RNA". It matches the Rfam family "Archaeal large subunit ribosomal RNA", at positions 1948 to 2654 of the family's 2987-position model. Lineage: Eukaryota; Metazoa; Mollusca; Gastropoda; Ellobiida; Ellobiidae. The record is from RNAcentral.